This is a long non-coding RNA of Brienomyrus brachyistius, 2272 nucleotides long. RefSeq lists it as uncharacterized. The transcript is spliced from 3 exons. The record is from RefSeq and is a predicted model, not a curated record. Lineage: Eukaryota; Metazoa; Chordata; Actinopteri; Osteoglossiformes; Mormyridae.
UGGAUGGAUGGAUGGAUUAAACAUAGAUCUGUACGUGCCUUAUCAGUCUGAAAGUACAUUUUUGGGACACAUUUGAUACUGCCAGUACUGCAUUCUGUUACAUCAGGCUGGCCUCUCAUAAGAAUUGAUUAGGCUGAGUGUGUACUUUUAUGGGUUUUUUGUAGUAGAACAAGCAACCUAAAUAAUUUCCUAUAAAAAUUUGCUGGUACUUUGCUAUAAUGGAAAUUGCAGUAUUGUGGUUCUGACCAACUCUGUGUGGGAUAACGCUGAUGUUAAAAGGGCACCUGCCCCCUCUGUCUGCCUGCCUGUGCGGCUUGCAUGGAUGUGCCCUGCAAUGAACUGGCCGUUGUAGGCUGGUAGAGGAUGGAUGGAUGGAAAGACACUAUUUUAUGCUGGAUGUAAAGGAACAACCCAGGAGCCCCUUGUUGGGGGGGGGGCUGGCUUCUGCUGCUGUGUGUACUGUCCAGGUGCGUGUCAGACCAUGUGGCCACCAACUUGUAAAUCUUUAAAUUAGCUGAACAGUAUUGACUGGGGUGGGGGACAGGGAGAUUGGAGUGGUUGGAGAGGGGCAGACUUUACCUUUCAGGUAUUGAUAGGUGCAUAUGUGGUAUGUGAUAGGUGCAUAUGUGGUAUGUGAUAGGUGCAUAUGUGGUAUGUAAUAGGUGCAUAUGUGGUAUGUGGUAGGUGCAUAUGUGGUAUGUAAUAGGUGCAUAUGUGGUAUGUGGUAGGUGCAUAUGUGGUAUCUGAUAGGUGCAUAUGUGGUAUGUAAUAGGUGCAUAUGUGAUAGGUGCAUAUGUGGUAUGUGAUAGGUGCAUAUGUGGUAUGUAAUAGGUGCAUAUGUGAUAGGUGCAUAUGUGGUAUGUGAUAGGUGCAUAUGUGGUAUGUAAUAGGUGCAUAUGUGGUAUGUAAUAGGUGCAUAUGUGGUAUGUAAUAGGUGCAUAUGUGGUAUGUGGUAGGUGCAUAUGUGGUAUCUGAUAGGUGCAUAUGUGGUAUGUAAUAGGUGCAUAUGUGAUAGGUGCAUAUGUGGUAUGUGAUAGGUGCAUAUGUGGUAUGUAAUAGGUGCAUAUGUGGUAUGUGAUAGGUGCAUAUGUGGUAUCUGAUAGGUGCAUAUGUGGUAUGUAAUAGGUGCAUAUGUGGUAUCUGAUAGGUGCAUAUGUGGUAUGUGAUAGGUGCAUAUGUGGUAUGUGCAUAUGUGGUAUGUGAUAGGUGCAUAUGUGGUAUGUGGUAGGUGCAUAUGUGGUAGGUGCAUAUGUGGUAGGUGCAUAUGUGGUAUGUGGUAGGUGCAUAUGUGGUAUGUGGUAGGUGCAUAUGUGGUAUGUGGUAGGUGCAUAUGUGGUAUGUGGUAGGUGCAUAUGUGGUAUGUGAUAGGUGCAUAUGUGGUAUGUGGUAGGUGCAUAUGUGGUAUGUGGUAGGUGCAUAUGUGGUAUGUGAUAGGUGCAUAUGUGGUAUGUGAUAGGUGCAUAUGUGGUAGGUGCAUAGGAUAGGGCCAGACCGGAGUUACCUGGGACAAAAACACUUUUAUUUACACAGAAGUCCUACUAUCUUAGUUAUUUAAAGAAACAAAGUAAUACUAACCCAGCCCCCCUACCAAAAAAAAAACCAGGAAAAAACAAUGAUAAACUUUACCUUGAGUCUGCCACUGUAAUAUUUUUAUGCAUCACUUAUUAGGAAUGUGAUCGUUGUUAUCCCAGGUUCACCUGGGCUCCUCUUACCACAUCUUUCUGUUCUUAUUGCACGCGUUCAUGCUGCUAGGAUGCAAACUACAAUCAUAUAUUUAUUUCAAAGAAAAACAGGGCAUCCCUUAGCCCGCUGCAUCCAGAGGGUCCAUCGCGCCUCUCAGCCCACUGCUGUCUGCUGGGAGGGUCUGCGGCCACGACAAUCAGGCUUAAAAGCAGUUUAUUUCUCAGUUUAUUUGACUGCUGAAUAGUCUGUAUUUAAAUUCUCUUUAUUACUUAUUUUCAUUUGCACUACGACCAACCUCAUACAUCACAUAUCUGAAGCUCACAAUAAAAGACACUUUGACUGUUACUGUAUGUAGGAUAGUUAAAAUUCUUGCACAAAUUCGGAAUCUCGGAAUAUUGGACCUUAAGCCUAAAGGAAUGCAUGUCCCAUGGGACUUGAUCAUGGGGAAUUUGGAUCCCGACAAUUCCGGAAAUAGUUUAAUAAUAAAUUCCCAGAGGUCCCACUGGACUGGACAGAUCAUAUGGAAUAUGGAUUUCCUGCUGGUAGACAUCCUUCUUGGGGCUUGGCGGGGAUGUAGUUUAACUUGCAA